UACGAAGGGGGCUAGCGUUGCUCGGAAUCACUGGGCGUAAAGCGCACGUAGGCGGCUUUCUAAGUCAGGGGUGAAAUCCUGGAGCUCAACUCCAGAACUGCCUUUGAUACUGGAGAGCUCGAGUCCGGAAGAGGUGAGUGGAACUGCGAGUGUAGAGGUGAAAUUCGUAGAUAUUCGCAAGAACACCCGUGGCGAAGGCGGCUCUCUGGGACGGUACUGACGCUGAGACGCGAAAGCGUGGGGAGCGAACAGG
RNAcentral lists this ribosomal RNA (253 nucleotides) under uncultured bacterium. Its description in RNAcentral is "partial 16S ribosomal RNA". It matches the Rfam family "Bacterial small subunit ribosomal RNA", at positions 524 to 776 of the family's 1533-position model. The record is from RNAcentral.